RNAcentral lists this unclassified non-coding RNA (823 nucleotides) under Bradyrhizobium vignae. RNAcentral's name for it is "partial 16S-23S ribosomal RNA intergenic spacer". The stretch from base 163 to 236 matches the Rfam family "tRNA". Lineage: Bacteria; Pseudomonadati; Pseudomonadota; Alphaproteobacteria; Hyphomicrobiales; Nitrobacteraceae. The record is from RNAcentral.
CUCACUAUCGGAUCGUUUUAGAAACAUCAGUGGCCAACAGAUCGCCAGAUCGUUGAGCUGCAUUGGCGGGAUUUCGCCGUCUUCGUUUCUCUUUCUUCGCGGACGAACACGCGCUGGGCCUGCAACGGCAGGAUCCAGGGUCCUUAACGGGAUGUGCGUUAGGGGCUUGUAGCUCAGUUGGUUAGAGCGCGCGCUUGAUAAGCGUGAGGUCGGAAGUUCAAGUCUUCCCAGGCCCACCACUUUCAUCGAGUGAGCAUUCGUCUUCUGGUUACGGGGCCAUAGCUCAGCUGGGAGAGCGCGUGCUUUGCAAGCAUGAGGUCGUCGGUUCGAUCCCGUCUGGCUCCACCAGAUGGUUUGAUCACCGAGAUCUUGACCGUCGUCCGCGAAACAUCACUUCGCAUCCUGCUAGUCUGGAUAGACAGCAGUUUGCGUGUUUUCUGACAUCGUAAAGAGGAGAUCGAUCCGAGUUGGGUCGUGCAGCAUAUCGUUGCGCGAGCCUUCAUUAUCUCCGGAUCAUUUCGGCGCUCGCUUCCAGCCGUGAGGUUGGAUGCGGGUUGUAAAUGAUCCUUUUAGCGAAGCUUGACCGCCUCGCUAUCGGAACGAUCUUACGAAGCAAGCUGGUCUUUCUAGUCAAUGUCCGGCUGCGGAUAGCGUUCAUCGAGGGCGCGUGCCGCAAGGCAAUUCUGCAGACAACAUUCUGCCGAGUGUGUGGACAUUGAUAAUGAGAGCAAUCAAGUGCCUUAAGGGUGUUCGGUGGAUGCCUUGGCGCUGAGAGGCGAUGAAGGACGUGCUACGCUGCGAUAAGCCGUGGGAGCUGCGAAGA